UACGUAGGGUGCAAGCGUUGUCCGGAAUUAUUGGGCGUAAAGAGCUCGUAGGCGGUUUGUCGCGUCGGCUGUGAAACCUUGGGGCUCAACCCCAAGCCUGCAGUCGAUACGGGCAGACUAGAGUGCGGUAGGGGAGACUGGAAUUCCUGGUGUAGCGGUGAAAUGCGCAGAUAUCAGGAGGAACACCGGUGGCGAAGGCGGUUCUCUGGGCAUUACCUGACGCUGAGGAGCGAAAGUGUGGGGAGCGAACAGG
This 253-nucleotide ribosomal RNA is filed under the name uncultured bacterium. RNAcentral's name for it is "partial 16S ribosomal RNA". It matches the Rfam family "Bacterial small subunit ribosomal RNA", at positions 524 to 776 of the family's 1533-position model. The record is from RNAcentral.